This 484-nucleotide ribosomal RNA is filed under the name uncultured bacterium. RNAcentral's name for it is "partial 16S ribosomal RNA". It matches the Rfam family "Bacterial small subunit ribosomal RNA", at positions 29 to 507 of the family's 1533-position model. The record is from RNAcentral.
AGUGAACGCUGGCGGCAGGCCUAACACAUGCAAGUCGAGCGGCAGCGCGCGGGCAACCCUGGCGGCGAGCGGCGGACGGGUGAGUAAUUCGUCGGAAACUGCCUCUUUGUGGUGGAUAACGUAGGGAAACUUACGCUAAUAACGCAUACGUCCUACGUGAGAAAGGGGGGGACCUCAAGGCCUCACGCAGAAAGGUGAGCCGACGACCGAUUAGCUAGUUUGUGGGGUAAAGGCCCACCAAGGCGACGAUCGGUAGCUGGUCUGAGAGGAUGAUCAGCCACACUGGAGCGUGGACAGGGCCCAUGCUCCUGCGGGAGGCCGCAGUGUGGAAUAGUAGACAAUGGGCGGGAGCCUGGUCCAGCCAUGCAGCGUGUGUGAAGGAGGCCCUCGGGUUGUAAAGAACUUUUGUCCGGAAAGAAAUCCCUGGAGCUAAUAACUACGGAGAAUGACGGUACCGGAAGAAUAAGCACCGGCUAACUUCGUG